Molecule: ribosomal RNA, 766 nt
Filed under: Staphylococcus epidermidis
Lineage: Bacteria; Bacillati; Bacillota; Bacilli; Caryophanales; Staphylococcaceae
Description: bacterial SSU rRNA
Rfam family: Bacterial small subunit ribosomal RNA
Source: RNAcentral
GAUGAACGCUGGCGGCGUGCCUAAUACAUGCAAGUCGAGCGAACAGACGAGGAGCUUGCUCCUCUGAUGUUAGCGGCGGACGGGUGAGUAACACGUGGAUAACCUACCUAUAAGACUGGGAUAACUUCGGGAAACCGGAGCUAAUACCGGAUAACAUGUUGAACCGCAUGGUUCAACAGUGAAAGACGGUCUUGCUGUCACUUAUAGAUGGAUCCGCGCCGCAUUAGCUAGUUGGUAAGGUAACGGCUUACCAAGGCAACGAUGCGUAGCCGACCUGAGAGGGUGAUCGGCCACACUGGAACUGAGACACGGUCCAGACUCCUACGGGAGGCAGCAGUAGGGAAUCUUCCGCAAUGGGCGAAAGCCUGACGGAGCAACGCCGCGUGAGUGAAGAAGGUCUUCGGAUCGUAAAACUCUGUUAUUAGGGAAGAACAAAUGUGUAAGUAACUAUGCACGUCUUGACGGUACCUAAUCAGAAAGCCACGGCUAACUACGUGCCAGCAGCCGCGGUAAUACGUAGGUGGCAAGCGUUAUCCGGAAUUAUUGGGCGUAAAGCGCGCGUAGGCGGUUUUUUAAGUCUGAUGUGAAAGCCCACGGCUCAACCGUGGAGGGUCAUUGGAAACUGGAAAACUUGAGUGCAGAAGAGGAAAGUGGAAUUCCAUGUGUAGCGGUGAAAUGCGCAGAGAUAUGGAGGAACACCAGUGGCGAAGGCGACUUUCUGGUCUGUAACUGACGCUGAUGUGCGAAAGCGUGGGGAUCAAACAGG